UAGGGAAUAUUGGACAAUGGGGGCAACCCUGAUCCAGCCAUGCCGCGUGAGUGAAGAAGGCCCUCGGGUUGUAAAGCUCUUUUGUCCGGAAAGAAAAGCUUCGGGUUAAUACCCCGGGGUUCUGACGGUACCGGAAGAAUAAGCACCGGCUAACUUCGUGCCAGCAGCCGCGGUAAUACGAAGGGUGCAAGCGUUACUCGGAAUUACUGGGCGUAAAGCGUGCGUAGGUGGUUGUUUAAGUCUGAUGUGAAAGCCCUGGGCUCAACCUGGGAAUGGCAUUGGAAACUGGGCAGCUAGAGUGCGGUAGAGGGUAGUGGAAUUCCCGGUGUAGCAGUGAAAUGCGUAGAGAUCGGGAGGGACAUCUGUGGCGAAGGCGACUGCCUGGACCAGCACUGACACUGAGGCACGAAAGCGUGGGGAGCAAACA
This 427-nucleotide ribosomal RNA is filed under the name uncultured bacterium. RNAcentral's name for it is "bacterial SSU rRNA". It matches the Rfam family "Bacterial small subunit ribosomal RNA", at positions 355 to 774 of the family's 1533-position model. The record is from RNAcentral.